UACUUGUGUUUUGUUUGUUCUUUUUGUUAUGAUGGUUUUGUUUCGUCUACAAUUCUACAUAUUCACCUUUUUGUUAUCUCAUCAAAUAUUAGAGUCAUGACAAUAAGAUAGCCAAAGAAGGUAAACCUGAAUCAACUCUUUCACAAGAAUUUUACCGAUUUCAAGUUUCGAUGUAAAAGCAUGUGUUUAUGGUAUUUUUUGAGGCCACACGUAUAUGUAAAAUGUCCAUUAGUUUAGUCGGUUGCUUUCAUUGUUCGUGGCUUAAGAGUUAAAAAUUCGAGUCCCACUCGGCCACUCCCAUAUAAUAUGUCCACAAUUUUGUUUUUUUCUAAUUGCCUUAAUGUUAAUGGUCCACAAUUUAUAAUUGUGCUUGGGGCCACUUCAAGUGUAGGGUGAGCACUGGUGUCAGGCCAACUUGAGUUAGCAAUCCAGUAGAUGUUAAAGUUGCGGUUAUACAUCCAUCGUUACAACUCUCUACCUUGCUCAAGAACAAAGUACAAGAAGAAGAACAGAGUAAUAGCCUUUAAACCGGCCAACAACUUGUUAACCCGAACCAAAACCGGCUUCGAUUUGAUCUUGGUUAAAAUGCAACCCGAAGCCUCUGCGUCGUCUAGAGUCUUUCACUUCCACUUAAGUUGAACCCGGCAUAACCGCAGCAUUCUGGAUUUUGUGCUAACCCAAACCCUUUAUUUGAAACAUCUCUCAACAAGUUUGCAUCAAUCUUAUGUGAGGCACCUUGUGUCCGCAUAAUGUGCACCGUUAUCAAAUGGCUUGUCAUAUCGUCGUCGAUCUUCAAGCUACAUAUGAUCUUCAUUAACUUAUUCUCAUGAAGUCAGGAUUAAGAAUAGCUUGUGUAAGUGUGUAAAUGUGUGUUAUAAAG
This 880-nucleotide small RNA is filed under the name Arabidopsis thaliana (thale cress). Its description in RNAcentral is "putative long intergenic non-coding RNA". The record is from RNAcentral. Lineage: Eukaryota; Viridiplantae; Streptophyta; Magnoliopsida; Brassicales; Brassicaceae.